GAUGAACGCUGGCGGCGUGCCUAACACAUGCAAGUCGAGCGAACAGACGAGGAGCUUGUUCCUUUGACGUUAGCGGCGGACGGGCGAGUAACACGUGGAUAACCCACCUAUAAGACUCGGAUAACUUCGGGAAACCGGAGCUAAUACCGGAUAACAUUUUUAACCGCAUGGUUCAAUAGUGAAAGACGGUUUUUUUGUCAGUUAUAGAUGGAUCCGCGCCGCAUUAGCUAGUUGGUAAGGUAACGGCUUACCAAGGCAACGAUGCGUAGCCGAUCUGAGAGGGGGAGCAGCCACACUAGAACUGAGACGCGGCCCAGACUCCUACGGGAGGCGACGGAGGGGAAACUACCACAGUGGGCGGAGGCCUAGCGGGACAACGCCGCGUAGGGGAUAAGAGUCUUCGGAUCGUAGUUCUCUGUUGUUAGGAAAAGACAAAAGUGUGAGUAACGAGGCACGUCUUGACGGUACCUAAUGAAAAAGCCACGGCUAACUACGUG
This 497-nucleotide ribosomal RNA is filed under the name uncultured bacterium. Its description in RNAcentral is "partial 16S ribosomal RNA". It matches the Rfam family "Bacterial small subunit ribosomal RNA", at positions 28 to 507 of the family's 1533-position model. The record is from RNAcentral.